RNAcentral lists this ribosomal RNA (498 nucleotides) under uncultured Actinomycetes bacterium. RNAcentral describes it as "bacterial SSU rRNA". It matches the Rfam family "Bacterial small subunit ribosomal RNA", at positions 355 to 859 of the family's 1533-position model. The record is from RNAcentral. Lineage: Bacteria; Bacillati; Actinomycetota; Actinomycetes.
UGGGGAAUAUUGCGCAAUGGGCGGAAGCCUGACGCAGCGACGCCGCGUGGGGGAUGACGGCCUUCGGGUUGUAAACCUCUUUCAGCACCGACGAAGCCUUUCGGGGUGACGGUAGGUGCAGAAGAAGCGCCGGCUAACUACGUGCCAGCAGCCGCGGUAAUACGUAGGGCGCAAGCGUUGUCCGGAAUUAUUGGGCGUAAAGAGCUCGUAGGCGGUUUGUCGCGUCUGUCGUGAAAGCCCACGGCUUAACCGUGGGUCUGCGGUGGAUACGGGCAGGCUAGAGGCAGGUAGGGGGAGAACGGAAUCCCCGGUGUAGCGGUGAAAUGCGCAGAUAUCGGGAGGAACACCGGUGGCGAAGGCGGUUCUCUGGGCCUGUACUGACGCUGAGGAGCGAAAGCGUGGGGAGCGAACAGGAUUAGAUACCCUGGUAGUCCACGCCGUAAACGUUGGGCGCUAGGUGUGGGGUCCUUCCACGGAUUCCGCGCCGCAGCUAACGCA